GUUCAGGGGCUCAGCGGAUAAGAGCGCUGACUGCUCUUCCAGAGAUCCUGAGUUCAAAUCCCAGCAACC
This 69-nucleotide transfer RNA is filed under the name Mus musculus (house mouse). Its description in RNAcentral is "tRNA-Ser". The record is from RNAcentral. Lineage: Eukaryota; Metazoa; Chordata; Mammalia; Rodentia; Muridae.